UGUCGUCAGCUCGUGUCGUGAGAUGUUGGGUUAAGUCCCGCAACGAGCGCAACCCUUGUCAUUAGUUGCUACAUUCAGUUGGGCACUCUAAUGAGACUGCCGGUGACAAGCCGGAGGAAGGUGGGAUGACGUCAAGUCCUCAUGGCCCUUAUAGGUGGGGCUACACACGUCAUACAAUGGCUGGUACAAAGGGUUGCCAACCCGCGAGGGGGAGCCAAUCCCAUAAAGCCAGUCGUAGUCCGGAUCGUAGUCUGCAACUCGACUACGUGAAGUCGGAAUCGCUAGUAAUCGUGGAUCAGAAUGUCACGGUGAAUACGUUCCCGGGUCUU
Molecule: ribosomal RNA, 329 nt
Filed under: uncultured Rhodoferax sp.
Lineage: Bacteria; Pseudomonadati; Pseudomonadota; Betaproteobacteria; Burkholderiales; Comamonadaceae
Description: bacterial SSU rRNA
Rfam family: Bacterial small subunit ribosomal RNA
Source: RNAcentral